This is a non-coding RNA of Pelobates cultripes (western spadefoot toad), 723 nucleotides long. NCBI's taxonomy places the organism in Eukaryota, Metazoa, Chordata, Amphibia, Anura, Pelobatidae. The record is from the annotation of a GenBank genome assembly.
AAAAUAUUAAAGAGAAUGGGUCCAAGUACAGAUCCCCAACGUACCCCACUGGUAACAAGACCAUGCUUCGAAUAUACUCCAUUGAUUACAACUCUCUGUUGCCUGUCACUCAGCCACUGCCUUACCCAUUCAACAAUAUUGGAAUCCAAACUUAAAGUUGCAGUUUAUUGAUAAGCCUUCUAUGUGCAACAGUGUCAAAAGCCUUACUAAAAUCUAGGUAAGCAAUUUAUACUGCACCAUCCUGAUCUAUUAUUUUAGUUAUCCAAUCAAAAAAAUCAAUUAGAUUAGUUUGGCAUGAUCUCCCUGAAGUAAACCCAUGUUGUCUCUGAUCUUGACAUCCAUGUGAUUUUAGAUGUUAAACAAUCCGAUCCUUUAACAUGGUUUCUAGUACUUUUCCCACUUCUGAAGUAAGUCUUAUUGGCCUGUAGUUACCUGACUCCUCCCUACUUCGUUUCUUGUGAAUUGGCACAACAUUCGCUAAAUAACACUGUCUCCGUCGGGCUGCCUUCUUCCCAUACUGCAUCCUGCUGCCAUCUCUUCAACAGGUAAAUGAUGCACAUGCAUUCGGCAAUCCACCUGAUCUAAAAGAAAAUUUUUAUUCAUCAGACCUUCCCCCAUUUCUCCAUUGUUCAGUUCAGAUGCUCAUAUCCCUAUUGAAGAUGCUUUUGACAAUGGAAAGGGGUCAUCAUGGGCACCCUGACCUAUUUGCAGCUACGCAACCCC